This is a non-coding RNA of Penaeus vannamei (Pacific white shrimp), 458 nucleotides long. The record is from RefSeq and is a predicted model, not a curated record. NCBI's taxonomy places the organism in Eukaryota, Metazoa, Arthropoda, Malacostraca, Decapoda, Penaeidae.
CGUACCUUUGAGUGGGCGAGGCGGGGCCGGAGAGGAACUGCGGUCAGAACAAUAACUUUUUUAGACCGAGGGACCCUCCCCUACCCCCCAGCCGCCCACCAGCGCCCUUCCCUCGAACCCCCGAUGCCCAGCGCGCCCAUCAGCCCGACCUCGACAGGAAUUUUCCAAAGAGUGACUCAGCUCAGUGGAAACAUUUGGACGCGGCGAUCACAUGGCGUGUCUCUCUGCCCCUAUCUGUGUGCCACGAGUGCCUCGAUAAAAUUUCGCUGACUGAUUGGGUGCCCUUCCCGACUCACGAUUCACAAGAGCGGCCACUCAAAGACUCAGAUUAUCCCUGGGGCGAGAGUGCGAGAGAGCGACGGCCAUGGUGCCCCCGCAUUGGAGGUCUGUGCUUGGGGGAGGCUGGAGGCUGAGGCGGAGGUGACGCGCUCCAACGACGACAAAAAAAGAGAGAGAGA